GUUCUGGGGGAAACUUUACCUUUAGACGGUGUAAUGGAUAUGCCUCGGUCCUUAUUCUCAUGCUAGUGCAUUAGUCCGUUUUCACACUGCUAUAAAGAAAUACCCGAGACUGGGUCAUUUGUAAAGGAAAGAUGUUUAAUUGACUUGCAGUUCUGCGUGACUGGAGAGGCCUCAGGAAACUUAUAAUUAUGGUGGAAGGGGAAGCAGUUGCAUCUUACAUGGUGAGAGAGAGUGUGUGUAAAGGAAGAACUCUGCAACACUUCUAAAACCAUCAGGGAUCUCAUGAGAACUCACUCACUAUCAUGAGAACUGCAUGGGGGAACCGCCAAUCACCUCCUUCCUUCUACAGGUCAACCUGAUCACACUGCCGAGGCUACAAGCACACAAAGGCUGCAGGCACAUAAACAAAAGAUGAAAAAACAGACUCCCGGGCAGAGAAAACAGGGUCAGAGGUGUUGCCGUGCCUGUGAGGCCUUUGCUGGCCGCCUGCGUUCCGGUGGCAGCCAGUGACCGUCCUGCACCUUCCUGCCGACUGCAGAGACCUCAGGCCACCCUUGGCUCUGACCUGUGUUUCCCAGGCUGCCUCUGCACCUGCCUGCUAAAGCCUUCCUCGGUUUCCUUUGGUCUGGUUCCCCAGAAGCAAACCCGAACUCACUAGAAUUAAGACCAGAAUUUGCCUUCAAGCAGGUGAAACUGACAGGGAAGAGGAAGAAGAGGAAGGGGCCCACCCACAGCCUCAUCUCAGGCAAGGUCCCUGGUGCUGCAGUCUGGCCCCAGAGGAGAAUCCUGAGUGUUCACUCUUUCCAGGGGCCGGGGAGUCAGGCUUUCAGACGCUGUCACACAAGUUACCAGAGUGAAGGGGUAAGACUCCAGGCACCCGGCUUGAAGACACAUUGGCCCGGAGUAAACGCUGUUCUGCCAACUGCGGGUGUUGCAGCCAAUUCCUUUCUAAUCCUUAAUUUCCUUGUCUGUAUGAAGGACAGUCAUGGAAGUUGCAUGAGACAUGCAUCCAAUGUUUGCCACAGAGGAAGUCCUCUGCAGGCAUUAACUCUCAUGUUAUUAAAGCGCCUGCCAUUUUAUGGUGACUUCCUCUUUUCACAUUAAUCUGUCUUAUUCUGCUAUCAUCCUUUUCAUGUUACAAACCUGAAAGCUAAUAAAAGAUUACCAAUUCCACUACAGUAUAUAUUCUAUCCUUGGGUCUUUUAUUUUGGCAUAGUCUAAAGCACUGUGCAGCACAUAGAAGUGUCCAAUAAAUCUUUGGCAAAUUAAAGAGAUUGAAGUAUUAAUAGCAUUAACAUUCAUUCUGUAUUUUCUUUGUGCUGGGCCCCGUCCUAAGUGUUUUACAUGCUUGAACUCCUUUAAUCUUUACUAACCGUCUUGAAACGUAAGUACUGUAUGAAUGAAAUACAUUUUUGAUGAAUUAAAAGAAUGCCGUUUUUGUUGCCAUAGCAACACGGGUCUGAAAAUAUGAAUCCAAGUUUAGAAGCCGUAAUCAUUGUUUUCUGCCUCAGUUUUAAUGUGCUGUUGAAGGUAUUUAUAUGAAAAUAGCUACAGCAAGGGACCUGCCCCCAGGGCGAUUUUUAUCAUCGAUGUCAUUGCUUCCCAAGAUUGAAAGCGGUUGUUCUAAAAUCUGGAUCCCCAAAAUCUGGUAGGGCAGCAUUUCGUGAACUAAGGCACCCAGACCCAGGAGGUCCUUGGUAACAUUUCAGAGACCUGUAAAACCAAAGGAGGAAAGUUGGUAGGUAUUUAGGAAGUUGGGUUUGGAUUCAAUUGUUAAACAACUUAAAACAUUAGUUUCUAGUGAAA
This 1806-nucleotide long non-coding RNA is filed under the name Homo sapiens (human). Its description in RNAcentral is "HSALNT0157890". Lineage: Eukaryota; Metazoa; Chordata; Mammalia; Primates; Hominidae. The record is from RNAcentral.